Molecule: ribosomal RNA, 475 nt
Filed under: uncultured bacterium
Lineage: Bacteria
Description: partial 16S ribosomal RNA
Rfam family: Bacterial small subunit ribosomal RNA
Source: RNAcentral
AAUGAACGUUGGCGGCGUGGAUUAGGCAUGCAAGUCGCGCGGACCAGCAAUGGUUAGCGGCGAAAGGGAGAGUAACGCGUGGGUUAUCUGCCUCUUGGGCCAGGAUAGCUGCGGGAAACUGCAGGUAAUACUGGAUAAUGUCUUCGGACCAAAGGUGUGAUUCCGCCGGGAGAUGAGCCCGCGUCCUAUUAGCUAGUUGGUGAGGUAAUGGCUCACCAAGGCUUAGAUGGGUAGGGGGUGUGAGAGCACGACCCCCCUCACUGGGACUGAGACACUGCCCAGACACCUACGGGUGGCUGCAGUCGAGGAUCUUCGGCAAUGGGCGAAAGCCUGACCGAGCGACGCCGCGUGUGGGAUGAAGGCCUUCGGGUUGUAAACCACUGUCGUAGAGGAGGAAAUUCUGGGGGGUUCUCCCCUCAGUUUGACCUAUUCUAGGAGGAAGUCAGGGCUAAGUUCGUGCCAGCCGCCGCGGUAA